Molecule: ribosomal RNA, 824 nt
Filed under: uncultured Bacillota bacterium
Lineage: Bacteria; Bacillati; Bacillota
Description: bacterial SSU rRNA
Rfam family: Bacterial small subunit ribosomal RNA
Source: RNAcentral
AAAGUGUAGCAAUACAUGAGUACAGCGGCGCACGGGUGAGUAACACGUGGAUAACCUGCCUCAAAGUGGGGAAUAACACCGGGAAACCGGUGCUAAUACCGCAUAUUCUGAUGGAGCCUGCGGGCUUUGUCAGGAAAGGAGCAAUUCGCUAUGAGAGGGGUCCGCGGCUGAUUAGCUAGUUGGUGAGGUAAUGGCUCACCAAGGCCACGAUCAGUAGCCGGUCUGAGAGGACGGUCGGCCACACUGGAACUGAGACACGGUCCAGACUCCUACGGGAGGCAGCAGUGGGGAAUUUUUCGCAAUGGGGGCAACCCUGACGAAGCAAUGCCGCGUGGAUGAUGAAGUAUCUCGGUACGUAAAAUCCUUUCGACAGGGACGAAACCGCAAGGUUGACGGUACCUGUAGAAGAAGCCCCGGCUAACUCCGUGCCAGCAGCCGCGGUAAUACGGGGGGGGCAAGCGUUGUUCGGAAUUACUGGGCGUAAAGGGUGCGUAGGCGGCUUUCUAAGUUGGAUGUGAAAACUAUGGGCUCAACCCAUAGCCUGCAUCCAAAACUGGAAGGCUAGGGUUCUGGAGGGGAAAGCGGAAUUCCUGGUGUAGCGGUGAAAUGCGUAGAUAUCAGGAGGAACACCGGUGGCGAAGGCGGCUUUCUGGACAGACACCGACGCUGAGGCACGAAAGCUAGGGGAGCAAACAGGAUUAGAUACCCUGGUAGUCCUAGCCCUAAACGAUGGAUACUUGCUGUGAGGGGGAUUGAAACCCUUUGUGGCGAAGCUAACGCAUUAAGUAUCCCGCCUGGGGAGUACGGUCGCAAGGCUGAAACUC